UAGAUCUCUUUAAAAAGGUAAUAUGUUUAAUUCAGGAAUUGCGGAAAGCCUUGCAGCAGCUGCAAGAAGAAUUGUAGAACAAGAGCCAACAGCUUCGUGCCCGGGAGGCUGAAAAAUACAAUGAGAUUCGAACCCAGGAACAAAACAUCCAGCACCUAAACCAUAGUCUGAGUCACAAGGAGCAAUUGCUUCAGGAAUUUCGGGAGUUCCUAUAGUAUCGAGAUAACUCAGACAAAACCCUUGAAGCAAAUGAAAUGUUUUUUGAGAAACUUCGCCAGCGCAUACAUGAUAAAGCUGUUGCUCUGGAGAGCACUCCCAGGAAACGGAAAGCCUGAGGGAGGCUCUGCUGUCCUCUCAAUCCCACCUUCAAGAGCUCGAAAAGGAGCUGGAGCAUGAGAAGAUGGAAAGCAGCAGCUUUUGGAAGACUUAAGGGAGAAGCAGCAAGAGGUCUUGCAUUUCAGGGAGGAACGUCUUUCCCUCCAGGAAAACGACUCCAGACUGCAGCACAAGCUGGUCCUCCUGCAGCAACAGUGUGAAGAGAAACAGCAGCUCUUUGAGUCCCUCCAGUCAGAGCUACAAAUCUACGAAGCACUUUAUGGCAAUUCCAAGAAGGGGCUGAAAGCUUACAGCCUGGAUGCCUGUCACCAAAUCCUUUUGAGCAGUGACCUGAGCCACCUGGUGGCAGAGGU
This is a long non-coding RNA of Cercocebus atys (sooty mangabey), 689 nucleotides long. RefSeq lists it as uncharacterized. NCBI's taxonomy places the organism in Eukaryota, Metazoa, Chordata, Mammalia, Primates, Cercopithecidae. The transcript has 5 exons. The record is from RefSeq and is a predicted model, not a curated record.